CAAAUUUAAUCUAAGAAGAUUAGAUUUUUAUUUACAAUAAAAUUUAAAUUGUGCGAUUCAAUUAAAUUUGA
This 71-nucleotide transfer RNA is filed under the name Dipseudopsis sp. XG-2021. RNAcentral describes it as "tRNA-Val". Lineage: Eukaryota; Metazoa; Arthropoda; Insecta; Trichoptera; Dipseudopsidae. The record is from RNAcentral.